RNAcentral lists this transfer RNA (72 nucleotides) under Bos taurus (domestic cattle). It matches the Rfam family "tRNA". Rfam says of the family: Transfer RNA (tRNA) molecules are approximately 80 nucleotides in length. Their secondary structure includes four short double-helical elements and three loops (D, anti-codon, and T loops). Further hydrogen bonds mediate the characteristic L-shaped molecular structure. tRNAs have two regions of fundamental functional importance: the anti-codon, which is responsible for specific mRNA codon recognition, and the 3' end, to which the tRNAs corresponding amino acid is attached (by aminoacyl-tRNA synthetases). tRNAs cope with the degeneracy of the genetic code in two manners: having more than one tRNA (with a specific anti-codon) for a particular amino acid; and 'wobble' base-pairing, i.e. permitting non-standard base-pairing at the 3rd anti-codon position. Lineage: Eukaryota; Metazoa; Chordata; Mammalia; Artiodactyla; Bovidae. RNAcentral also lists the same sequence under 3 other names. The record is from Rfam by way of RNAcentral.
UCCCUGGUAGCUUAGCUGGUAAAGAAUCCUCCUGCAAUGCAGGAGACCCAGGUUCAAUUCCUGGAUUGGGAA